This is a non-coding RNA of Lonchura striata (white-rumped munia), 120 nucleotides long. The record is from RefSeq and is a predicted model, not a curated record. Lineage: Eukaryota; Metazoa; Chordata; Aves; Passeriformes; Estrildidae.
GGUGCAGUCUGCUGACUUUAAAUGCUUCCUGGAAAGACUUUGUGAAAAAUGUGCAGUCAAGCAGCUGGAUAGCUGGACACAACUGUUUCCCUGCUCUGGAAACAGACCCAAAGGAAUCAG